AGUACUUUAGUUUGAUACCCCGAAACUAAGUGAGCUACUCCAAGACAGCCUAUUAAUAGGGCCAACCCGUCUCUGUGGCAAAAGAGUGGGAAGAGCUUUGAGUAGAGGUGACAGACCAAUCGAACUUAGCUAUAGCUGGUUGCCUACGAAAUGAAUAGAAGUUCAGCCUCUCGGCUUCUUUCCUGACACUCGUCCUUAACCCACAAGACACCAGAAGAAACCGUGAGAGUUAUUCAAAAGAGGUACAGCUCCUUUGAAACAAGAUACAACUUUCCCAGGAGGAUAAAGAUCAUAAUAAAUCAAAGGCAAUGUGUUCUAGUGGGCCCGAAAGCAGCCAUCCUAAAAGAAAGCGUUAAAGCUCAAACAUAUCCCCCCGCCCUCGAUCCUGAUAAUUUAAUCUAAGUCCCCUAAUUGUACUAGGCCCUUCCAUGCAAACAUGGAAGUGAUUAUGCUAAUAUGAGUAAUAAGAGAGCUCAUGUCUCUCUCCUCGCACACCUGUAAAUCGAAAUGGACCCCCCACCGAAUCUUAACGGCCCCAAACAAAGAGGGAAUUGAACAACAAACUAAACAACUAGAAAAACAUUCUACAAACAACCGUUAACCCCACACUGGCGUGCCCCUAAGGAAAGACUAAAAGCCCCCGAAGGAACUCGGCAAACACCCAGGCCUCGCCUGUUUACCAAAAACAUCGCCUCUUGCAAAACCAAUGAAUAAGAGGUCCCGCCUGCCCUGUGACUAUAGUUUAACGGCCGCGGUAUUUUGACCGUGCGAAGGUAGCGCAAUCACUUGUCUUUUAAAUGGGGACCUGUAUGAAUGGCACCGACGAGGGCUUAACUGUCUCCUUUUUCAAGUCAAUGAAAUUGAUCUCCCCGUGCAGAAGCGGGGAUAACAACAUAAGACGAGAAGACCCUGUGGAGCUUUAGACACUAAAGCAGCCCCUAUCUAGUACAUCCUCCGUAAAGAGAAACUAAAGGGCCCCUGCCCUAAUGUCUUUGGUUGGGGCGACCGCGGGGAAAUAUAAAACCCCCACGUGCAGUGGGAGUACUACUCCUAAAAUCCAGAGCUUCCGCUCUAAAAAACAGAAUUUCUGACCAACAAGAUCCGGCAAAGCCGAUCAACGGACCGAGUUACCCCAGGGAUAACAGCGCAAUCCUCUUUUAGAGUUCAUAUCGACAAGGGGGUUUACGACCUCGAUGUUGGAUCAGGA
RNAcentral lists this ribosomal RNA (1207 nucleotides) under Sebastes oculatus (Patagonian redfish). Its description in RNAcentral is "partial 16S ribosomal RNA". It matches the Rfam family "Bacterial large subunit ribosomal RNA", at positions 698 to 2542 of the family's 2925-position model. The record is from RNAcentral. Lineage: Eukaryota; Metazoa; Chordata; Actinopteri; Perciformes; Sebastidae.